GAUUUAUUCCAAUCAAUGCUAAAGACGUAAUUAUGUACAUUUAGUCCUAAUUAAUCACCAAUUUAGUCCAAUUAAUCACAUUAAAUCUCAUGCUGAUGCAAAGAAGAAAUUAAAUGGGGAAUUAGGGUUAGAAGUGGGACCAUGGAGUUCUUGAACUCAGAAGCUUCUCAUCUCCCUCGUUCAUGAACAAACGGCACCGCGGAGAGUCUCCAUUUCUCCGAUCAAAACGGCGGCGAUUCUCUCCUCUAAUCUCCGAUGUAACUCCGUCGCUCAUCUCACUCAUCUCUUCUCUCAUUUCUCCCUGACUCACUUUCUCCGAUUAACUCUCUGUCUAAUACUCCUCCGUUCAACCAAUCGCCUCUCUCUUUCAUUCUUUGCGUUUGCAAUCCCUGUUUGUGUCGAUGUUGUACGUGCGCCGUUGUGACAGAGUUCAGAUGGAUAAAGCUUCAUUGAUGCUUGUUGAAAUUGAAGACAAAUCCGAUUCGGUGACGGUAAUGAUCAUUGUUUUUCUACAGAUUUGAAGAGGAAGGAGUUCGAUUGGAUUGUCGUAGACGAAGUUCAGAACAAUGCGAAGACGACGUCGUUGUUCGCGGUGGAGAAGAAGCUGCAGAUUACGUGCCGCUGCGUUUUUUGUGUUGGAGUCGAUCAGAAAUGAUGACGAAGAUUGUGGUUAUAGCGGAUUCGAAGAUGCCGGUGACGAAGAAUUGGAGUUCAGUUUGUAGAUGAAGAUGAACGUUGGAGGUUGUCGAAGGAAGAGUUUUGUUGAGGAUUAUUGUUCUUGGAGAUUAAAGGUGAUGGUUAUGGUUGCAGAAGAUUGAUUAUGGUCGAAUCUGUGAAGGUUGAAUCGAUGUUGAUGAAGGUGAGAUUGAAGAAGGUUUGGAGAGGAUUUCGGUUAAAGGUGUAAUGAAUCGAGAGAGAAAGAUGAAGAAGUUUGUUACCGUUUUUGUUGAAUUUUUGUGUAGAAGAUGAAGAUGGAUUUUGUGGUGAUGAUGAAUGAAUAGAAGAGGAUUUUGGUUAGAGAGUGAUGGUAGCGUACGAUUGAAGAAGAGAGGUUCAGGGAGAUUGAAGUUUGUUACAUGCUGUUACGAUAUCUGUUAUGAAUUUUCUGCUCUUCCACUUUCGUGAAUUCGUUCUCCCGGACUCCAUCGUGAAUACUGAGAUGAAGAGCCCCCUCUGUUGAAACUGAUUUGUUCCUUUUAUAAGCUUUUUCCUCUUUUGCUAUUAGUGAUUUUCUUCCAUGUUCUUCUCUGCUGCAGGUGCAGGGUCGGUUUAAUGUUGAGUGGUUUUAGCUGCCGGUCAGCGUGAAUGAAUGUUUGGGAUGUAAUAAAUGGACCCUGUGAUUUGUAUACUGUUUCUUAUUUUUUUGGAUGAAUUUAAUAUUUUUGUAAUGGAUAGUAUACCUUUUAACUUCAAUGAACAAAAUCCCCCCAAUUAUUCAAAACAAUCUUCUCUUUUAAAUUGAAUUUGAAGUCCCAAACUCCUUUGGCAAAUGUCUUGCAUACCGUCCCAUAGUCAUGGCGUGAACCCAACAAAACGUGUGCCAACACAACAAAACUUUGAACUAAUGACAUGAGUCUUGAAACUUGUGCACCGAAAGACCAUAUGAAUGAACCUUCCAUUUUGGCAAGCUUGAAUUAAUUCUCGACAAAUCAGAUGCUUAAGAACAAAUCGAUUAAUAUUGAACACAAAUCUAAAUUCAUGUCAUUAAGUAGUCUCUUGAAUCGACACAACUUUAUACCUCAUACUUGCACGAGAAU
Molecule: long non-coding RNA, 1757 nt
Organism: Vicia villosa (hairy vetch)
Lineage: Eukaryota; Viridiplantae; Streptophyta; Magnoliopsida; Fabales; Fabaceae
Exons: 3
Source: RefSeq, a predicted model, not a curated record